GAUGAAAAUCAAAAGAGAGAGAAGAAGGAGAAAGAGAGACAGAGAGAGAAACUUACUCCCCACUCAAAGAAACUGAACAUAACUCUCGACAUCAAUCAAGUUUAUCAUACCCGCAGAGAAGGAGACCGAGACGGAGACAGGAAAGAGAAGAAAAAGAAGAGAAACUUUUAGCACUAUCAUAUUUGCGUAUUAGGUUUUCUUGCUUUCUUAACUUAAUUGAUUGAUUCUUGAUACAGAAAGAGAGAGGCAAAGAGGUUUGCAAGAGAAUGGAAGGAGCCAGUAAUGGAGGGAUGUUGUAUCAUGAAGUACAAGAGUCGAAGCUGUGCGCGAUGCAUUGCGUGAAUACAGUGUUGCAGGGCCCAUUCUUCUCGGAAUUCGAUUUGGCGGCCCUUGCUUCCGAUCUCGACCGCCGGGAGCGUCAGAUGAUGCUGCAAGCCGGCGGUGAUUUCCUCC
RNAcentral lists this long non-coding RNA (453 nucleotides) under Coffea arabica (coffee). Its description in RNAcentral is "long non-coding RNA (CARA_LNC004432)". Lineage: Eukaryota; Viridiplantae; Streptophyta; Magnoliopsida; Gentianales; Rubiaceae. The record is from RNAcentral.